CCUAAAGCACCUAUUAAGACCUUGGCAGGACUGAGGAUUUUGUACGUUCUAGAUCAGGAAGCUGGUUUUCAAUGACCUGAGGGGACUUUGAUCCAACUUUUCCCAGGUUUAAGCUGAUGUUGGGACACGCUGCUUCCAAGUAAGUGCAACACACUGCCAGGCCUCUCGGCCAUCUCUGCUGAGGAAAAGACCCUUAUUGGCAACUACCAUCGGCAAGGAUAUAUUUGCCAAGGAUGGACAUUAAUCCAACUCUGUCUAGAAAAAAUAUACAAUUCAUUACCGCCACUACAUAAAAGGAGCAUAUGACUCCCUCAGGAAAUCCAUCAUCACUAAUAUUACAACAUGGAACAUAUAAGACUCGGCAUCAUAUUUAUACACAGAAAUCACUAAGAAUUAAAAGUUCUACUCUGUUAUUUCCAAAGGAUUUCAUUACUUGACCCUGGAUUCAUCACAGAACCAUCAGGAAGAUUUUUUAAAUAUACUGCUCUCCAACAUUAGUGAUAGUGAUUUUUAAAAAAUGAAUAUAUUAAAAUGAAUUGUUGCAACAUACAUGUAAUAUCAACUUUCAUAUAAAUCAUUUAGUCACACAGAGAGAGAGAGGCAGAGACAUAGACAGAGGGAGAAGCAGGCUCCAUGCACCGGGAGCCCGACGUGGGAUUCGAUCCCCGGUCUCCAGGAUCGCGCCCUGGGCUAAAGGCAGGCGCCAAACCGCUGCGCCACCCAGGGAUCCCCCCUCUUGACCACACAAUUGCCUCUUGACCUCGGGAGGCCUCAUUUGCCAAGACACCAGUGAGGUUUUUCAUUUACCAUCGUACCUCAAUAUAUGAGCUAGAACAUGAAUGCAAACGGUGCCACUUCGCCAACUGAAAUCUUGACUCUUCUCAACAAGCAAAUGAAGCACAAAUUCGCUAAAGAAAAAUUAUUGUAGUCGAAUAUGGAGCACUUCCUACAUGUCCACAUGGCUACAAAUUCUUACCUCAACCCUGUAAGAGAUGUGUGCUUUGCAUUGUGGUAACUAAGAAGCGAGCCAAGUUUAAGACCUUAAUGAGAAGAAAGUCUUUCCUUCAAGCUGAAAUUACAUCAACAUGGACCUGGACGCUCUUGUUUCUGACUUGAUUAAUGAAUGGAGGUGACUGAUUAAGUCGUUCUGGGUAUGCAAUGCCUUUUACCUGCACUAAUUUGAAAACAAUAUGAUGUAACACAGUUGGUAGACAAAGUACAAAGCAGACCCUAUUCUGUCUCUUCCUACCUCAUUCUUCCCCUCCUUUCCUCAAAGCAUACUGAUACUCACCCACCCUAAACCCACAAGACUUGAUGGAUUAUUUAUCAGGGAGAAAAGAUCCCAUAUUUCACCUUUCUCGUCCAUGAUUCCUACUAUCUAAACAAUCACACUAUCUUUUUAUUGAAUGGUUUUGUGUGUGUGUGUGUGUGUGUGUGUGUGUGUAAGGGGAGGAGGGGCAGAUAGAAAAUUGAGAUUCCUUCAAACUUUAACCCAAGAGACAUUUUUAUCAUCUCAGAGCCGUACCUCAUAUUAAUUAGGAGACACCUGGACAGAUAACCAUUUCAGAUGGGGCAACCAGACCCAUAUCUGUCUCCCAAGAAAUGCAGGCUUAAAGUUCAUAAGUUUAUGUUCUUGGCACAUGAGAAUAUGCUAAGUGAGUAUACACACACACGUGCGCGUGCACACACACACACACGCAAAUA
Molecule: long non-coding RNA, 1704 nt
Organism: Canis lupus familiaris (dog)
Lineage: Eukaryota; Metazoa; Chordata; Mammalia; Carnivora; Canidae
Exons: 9
Source: RefSeq, a predicted model, not a curated record